GAUGAACGCUGGCGGCGUGCCUAAUACAUGCAAGUCGAGCGAACGGACGAGAAGCUUGCUUUUCUGAUGUUAGCGGCGGACGGGUGAGUAACACGUGGAUAACCUACCUAUAAGACUGGGAUAACUUCGGGAAACCGGAGCUAAUACCGGAUAAUAUUUUGAACCGCAUGGUUCAAAAGUGAAAGACGGUCUUGCUGUCACUUAUAGAUGCAUCCGCGCUGCAUUAGCUAGUUGGUAAGGUAACGGCUUACCAAGGCAACGAUGCAUAGCCGACCUGAGAGGGUGAUCGGCCACACUGGAACUGAGACACGGUCCAGACUCCUACGGGAGGCAGCAGUAGGGAAUCUUCCGCAAUGGGCGAAAGCAUGACGGAGCAACGCCGCGUGAGUGAUGAAGGUCUCCGGAUCGUAAAACUCUGUUAUUAGGGAAGAACAUAUGUGUAAGUAACUGUGCACAUCUUGACGGUACCUAAUCAGAAAGCCACGGCUAACUACGUG
RNAcentral lists this ribosomal RNA (497 nucleotides) under uncultured bacterium. Its description in RNAcentral is "partial 16S ribosomal RNA". It matches the Rfam family "Bacterial small subunit ribosomal RNA", at positions 28 to 507 of the family's 1533-position model. The record is from RNAcentral.